UCUCCCCGAUGAGCUUAUCCAGGAGGGCAAAGACAUCAAGAGCAUCUCUGAGAUUGAGGAGACUGGAGACCACUUCAAGGUGACUGUCACCACGGGGACAAAGAUCCUCACCAACUCCUUCACCAUUGGCCAGGAGACGGAGCUCGAGACGCUGACCGGGAGAAGGUCAAUUCUGUGGUGAUGAGGGAAGGUAACAAGCUGAAGGUCUCCCUGAAGGGGAUCGAUUCUGUCACAGAACUGGCAGAUGCAAACGUCAACACCAUGACUGUAGCGGGCAUUGCUUACAAGAGGAUCAGCAAACGAAUAUGAUCAUCUACUGCACUGUUUGGAUUAAUAAAAUGUGAAAGCAA
Long non-coding RNA from Oncorhynchus tshawytscha (Chinook salmon), 350 nucleotides. RefSeq lists it as uncharacterized. The record is from RefSeq and is a predicted model, not a curated record. The transcript has 3 exons. NCBI's taxonomy places the organism in Eukaryota, Metazoa, Chordata, Actinopteri, Salmoniformes, Salmonidae.